CACAGCCCCUCGCUUGGAAAUGGUGAACAGGUGGUGGUAGCACUGGUGUUACCACUACAAGUGGAGGUCCCACCGAGAUCCAAGAAAGAAGGGACGCGCUGAUGCACACCCAAAGAGUUGCCAGCUUAAGUCAUGCCGAGAUCAAUAAAAAUGGGCCUUGGUGGUUCGUGUUCCUGGAGUUGUGUCCAUGCCAGUGGAUGCCCACACACUCCAGAAGAGAAUUUGACAUUGCUGCUGCUGUUGUUGCUGUUAUAGCCGUAGCGGCCACUGCUGCUACUGUUUCUGGGAUUGCCAUUUCAUAAUUGGUUACUACAGCUAGCACAGUGGAGACCCUGGCAGCAAAAGUAGCUACCACAGUUAAUUACUCUUUCAUUCUAUUGGGCAUGAUAAAUUUAAUUCAGUAGUUAUAUACAUUUCAAUUGGCUUUGAAAGUUGUAAAUUUAUAAACUCAAGUUCCAUUUGCUUUUGGGAUACCAUCUUAUGAGGACUCCAAUUGGCAGUAAGGCUCAUUUAGGAAGGGAAUGGCUCAAUUGCCUUUAGCCUAUUGGCUAUGGGUGGGUUAGGACUUCUGUUGGUCUUUUCUGUGUCAAACACACAGAUUGAAAGCCCAGUGCCACUCUGAGAUCUUUGUUAGCUGUAAACUCUGCAGCUCACACACAGUUGUGCCUUUAUGAUAAUGAGUAUUCAGAGAUGGGUAAUGCCUGGGGGGCACUCAUCAACCUAAGACAGAGCGCCUGUGUGGCCUGGGCAGGUGUCUCCAUGACAGGUAAGGUGACCUGCUGACAUCCCAUGCAACCUAAGUAAGAAGCUCAUUUUUUAGUAAAAGGGGGGACCUGUAGGGCCCUAGACCCCGUUUUGGGUAGCUGUUGCCUUGCUUGCUGACCUUGACCUUGAUGUCCUCCCUAUGCUAAUUCCCUGCUGGUUUCCACCCUCCUGAAUCUUUAAGGGAAGUUCCUUGUUUGUGUAUCCUGCAUAUUGGGUGUUAACUGCUUAGAUGCAAGAUUGUAAAACUUUGGUAGCAAACUUCUGCCCUCCAGGGUUCUCCCAUUUUGCUGUAGGCCUGUAUUUAAGGCCUCCUCCCUCCUUCAAUAAACGGCAUUCAGCAUUCUGCUAAGGUGAA
Molecule: long non-coding RNA, 1120 nt
Organism: Peromyscus californicus insignis
Lineage: Eukaryota; Metazoa; Chordata; Mammalia; Rodentia; Cricetidae
Exons: 2
Source: RefSeq, a predicted model, not a curated record